This 257-nucleotide unclassified non-coding RNA is filed under the name Hevea brasiliensis (rubber tree). Lineage: Eukaryota; Viridiplantae; Streptophyta; Magnoliopsida; Malpighiales; Euphorbiaceae. The record is from RNAcentral.
GAAAACAGGAUAAUCGGAACCAGCUGCUACAAUGUUCCCAUGUUUUUCUUCAAGAAUUAUGAGUGUUUAUGUAAUGUCUCCAGGAACCUCUCAUCAAGUGGAUUGGAAGGGACCAUAGAUCCUCUAUUCUCCAGGUUCACAUCAUUAGAAUACUUGUAAGUAUAGUGAUGCACAAGGCAAAACGCUGCAAUCUCAUUAGGGACUGAUAUCAACUUUAGUUUCUCAGGGCUAAUACCAAACGUAUAUGGCUUAUUUGC